RNAcentral lists this unclassified non-coding RNA (379 nucleotides) under uncultured Gammaproteobacteria bacterium. Its description in RNAcentral is "contains 16S-23S intergenic spacer region". Lineage: Bacteria; Pseudomonadati; Pseudomonadota; Gammaproteobacteria. The record is from RNAcentral.
UCCGGUUUGUCACCGGCAGUCUCCUUAGAGUUCCCACCAUAAUGUGCUGGCAACUAAGGACAAGGGUUGCGCUCGUUACGGGACUUAACCCAACAUCUCACGACACGAGCUGACGACAGCCAUGCAGCACCUGUCUCCCGGUUCCCGAAGGCACCCCCGCAUCUCUGCGGGGUUCCGGGGAUGUCAAGGCCAGGUAAGGUUCUUCGCGUUGCAUCGAAUUAAACCACAUGCUCCACCGCUUGUGCGGGCCCCCGUCAAUUCAUUUGAGUUUUAGCCUUGCGGCCGUACUCCCCAGGCGGUCGACUUAUCGCGUUAACUGCGCCACUAAGCCCUUUUAUGGACCCAACGGCUAGUCGACAUCGUUUAGGGCGUGGACUAC